Molecule: ribosomal RNA, 497 nt
Filed under: uncultured bacterium
Lineage: Bacteria
Description: partial 16S ribosomal RNA
Rfam family: Bacterial small subunit ribosomal RNA
Source: RNAcentral
GAUGAACGCUGGCGGCGUGCCUAAUACAUGCAAGUCGAGCGAACAGACGAGGAGCUUGCUCCUCUGACGUUAGCGGCGGACGGGUGAGUAACACGUGGAUAACCUACCUAUAAGACUGGGAUAACUUCGGGAAACCGGAGCUAAUACCGGAUAAUAUAUUGAACCGCAUGGUUCAAUAGUGAAAGACGGUUUUGCUGUCACUUAUAGCUGGAUCCGCGCCGCAUUAGCUAGUUGGUAAGGUAACGGCUUACCAAGGCAACGAUGCGUAGCCGGCCUGAGAGGGUGAUCGGCCACACUGGAACUGAGACACGGUCCAGACUCCUGCGGGACGCAGCAGUAGGGAAUCUUCCGCAAUGGGCGAAAGCCUGACGGAGCAACGCCGCGUGAGUGAUGAAGGUCUUCGGAGCGUAAAACUCUGUUAUUAGGGAAGAACAAAUGUGUAAGUAACUAUGCACGUCUUGACGGUACCUAAUCAGAAAGCCACGGCUAACUACGUG